Molecule: ribosomal RNA, 520 nt
Filed under: uncultured Glomus
Lineage: Eukaryota; Fungi; Glomeromycota; Glomeromycetes; Glomerales; Glomeraceae
Description: SSU rRNA
Rfam family: Eukaryotic small subunit ribosomal RNA
Source: RNAcentral
AGCAGCCGCGGUAAUUCCAGCUCCAAUAGCGUAUAUUAAAGUUGUUGCAGUUAAAAAGCUCGUAGUUGAAUUUCGGGACUAAUAUGUCGGUCGUGCCUCGGUACGCACUGGCUUAUUGGUUUCUCCUUUCUGAAGAACCAUGAUGUCAUUUAUUUGGUGUCGUGGGGAAUCAGGACUGUUACUUUGAAAAAAUUAGAGUGUUUAAAGCAGGCUCACGCUUGAAUACAUUAGCAUGGAAUAAUGAAAUAGGACGUUUGAUUCUAUUUUGUUGGUUUCUAGGAUCGACGUAAUGAUUAAUAGGGAUAGUUGGGGGCAUUAGUAUUCAAUUGUCAGAGGUGAAAUUCUUGGAUUUAUUGAAGACUAGCUACUGCGAAAGCAUUUGCCAAGGAUGUUUUCAUUAAUCAAGAACGAAAGUUAGGGGAUCGAAGACGAUCAGAUACCGUCGUAGUCUUAACCAUAAACUAUGCCGACUAGGGAUCGGAUGAUGUUAAUUUUUAAUGUACUCAUUCGGCGCCUUAAC